UGGGGGAUAUUGCACAAUGGGCGAAAGCCUGAUGCAGCGACGCCGCGUGGGGGAUGAAGGCCUUCGGGUUGUAAACUUCUUUUGCUCUGAACAAGGCAUGCUUUUGGGGUGUGUUGAGUGUAGGGGUUGAUUAGCGCCGGCUAACUACGUGCCAGCAGCCGCGGUAAUACGUAGGGCGCGAGCGUUGUCCGGAAUUAUUGGGCGUAAAGGGCUUGUAGGUGGCUGGUUGCGUCUGUCGUGAAAGCUCAUGGCUUAACUGUGGGUUUGCUGUGGGUACGGGCUGGCUUGAGUGCAGUAGGGGAGGCUGGAAUUCCUUGUGUAGCGGUGGAAUGCGCAGAUAUCAGGAGGAAUACCGGUGGCGAAGGCGGGUCUCUGGGCUGUUACUGACGCUGAGGAGCGAAAGCGUGGGGAGCGAACAGG
This 420-nucleotide ribosomal RNA is filed under the name Fusobacteriota bacterium. Its description in RNAcentral is "Fusobacteria bacterium partial 16S ribosomal RNA". It matches the Rfam family "Bacterial small subunit ribosomal RNA", at positions 355 to 776 of the family's 1533-position model. Lineage: Bacteria; Fusobacteriati; Fusobacteriota. The record is from RNAcentral.